Molecule: ribosomal RNA, 400 nt
Filed under: uncultured bacterium
Lineage: Bacteria
Description: bacterial SSU rRNA
Rfam family: Bacterial small subunit ribosomal RNA
Source: RNAcentral
GGGGAAUAUUGCACAAUGGGCGAAAGCCUGAUGCAGCAACGCCGCGUGGAGGAAGAAGGUUUUCGGAUUGUAAACUCCUGUCUUUUGGGACGAUAAUGACGGUACCAAAAGAGGAAGCCACGGCUAACUACGUGCCAGCAGCCGCGGUAAUACGUAGGUGGCGAGCGUUGUCCGGAAUUACUGGGCGUAAAGGGCGCGUAGGCGGCCUGUUAAGUCAGAUGUGAAAACCCCAGGCUCAACCUGGGGACUGCAUAUGAAACUGAUGGGCUAGAGUGUCGGAGAGGGAAGCGGAAUUCCUAGUGUAGCGGUGAAAUGCGUAGAUAUUAGGAGGAACACCAGUGGCGAAGGCGGCUUUCUGGACGAUAACUGACGCUGAGGCGCGAAAGCGUGGGGAGCAAAC